Molecule: unclassified non-coding RNA, 235 nt
Filed under: uncultured fungus
Lineage: Eukaryota; Fungi
Description: sequence contains ITS1, 5.8S rRNA gene
Rfam family: 5.8S ribosomal RNA (bases 187-235)
Source: RNAcentral
UCUCCGUUGGUGAACCAGCGGAGGGAUCAUUAUAGAGAGUGAAAGCUCCCUAAACCCAUUGUAAAUUUACCUGUUCGUUGCUUCGGCAGGCGGCCCCAGGGCGGGGCUGUAGCCUGUAAAGGCGCCUGCCGGAGGUACCAAACUCUGUUAUAAUUGUUGUCCGAGUCCACUAUAAAAACAAAUCAAAACUUUCAACAACGGAUCUCUUGGUUUGGGCAUCGAUGAAGAACGCAGC